GUGGAGGAGCUGCAAACUGCUGUGAAAGAGAACUUUGGAAUUUUUGAGGAGUUCAGUUUUCAGUAUUUGGACUCAGUCUUUGAAGAUUACUUCACUCUGCAUAAAACUGACCAAUUUAAACACAAAGACACGAUAAAGGUUGUCUAUGCUGCCCCGAUUAUUCUUGACUUGCAGUAAGUUGAAAGUUUGGACAUUUCUUUUGGUCAGCAGUCAACAGACUAUAACUCAGUAUCUUAUACAGAGUCAUCAGCAUCAAACGCAGAGUCCUCUUCAGGAACAUCAUCUUCACUGGACACCAUUAUCCUGCCGAGAUGGAUAAGCACCACUGAACGAUGUCAGCCAUGGCCAAAGCAGUUCCCCAUUCCGCAGUUUGCAUAUGAGACUGAGAUGUACCUUGAAAGAGCCAAUGAAUACGGAAAGAAUGGAACACUUCUGACUGCCUCAAAGGUCAAGACAGACAUAUUAGAGAAGCUGGCUGAAACUAUAUAUAUGUAUACAGCUUAUCCGUCAAGUACACAGAUAUGUGAUGUUGCUGAAGCACUUGUCAAGAAAUAUCCUUGUCUGAAGGAACCUGGCUCCUUCUCAGGUUACUAUGGCUGGCAACAAAGCCUCAAAUACAAGAUGGCAAAUUAUUGCACCAAACUCCGCAGCUCCGGUGUUCCUGAGGUGAUGUGCCAUGCCUUAAAGCGCAAGAGCCCUGCAGACCAGAAAUCUGCCAAGAAUGUGUAAAAGCCUCGAAAGGCUGAAUUAAACUACCUCCCCCUUUAACCAGCAGGAGAGGAUGAGGAAAGUCAAGAACAGGAAAGGAUUCUGUUGCUAACUGAAGUAAGGAAACGAGACAACAACGAACUGUUCAAAGAAAAGAUGGCCAAAACCUUUGCACACCGAAGAAAUGAAAUCGCCAACCAGUCACCCACCAUAGAGGACAUAAAAGCCAGAUGGCCAGCUCUGUUUGAGGCAUCUGAUAUCCAGGAUGAGUUUCACAGAAUCACAACGGUGCACCUGGAAGUUCAUGUCCAAGCUAGAUGAAUACUCUCCCAGGCUUCUAAACCUCUUCCACUCAAAGGGCAGGGCCAUGGGAUUGAGGUUGCAGACUAUCCUACUGAAGGAUGCAGAUGAAGACAGUGUGGCACAGGACCUUGCUGUACAAGAGAUGAAAAUCUACAGCAUCCAGACUAAUCUGUCAGAGGGUACAGAGGACAUCGGAAUCGUGAUAGGCGGAACAACGGUCCUGACUGCUCUGGGUAACCCUCCAAGGGCUUGUGCCAUGCUCAUUGGUUUGACAUAUGCAGUGAAUCUUGCCUAUCCCAAGGAGCUCAGGUACACUUUUGAAGCAUUUCAGAAACUCUUCCUCCAACUGGAUUGUUCAAAGCUUUCCCCAAAACCUUAACAGCCUCAAGAGCAAGCUUCUGGCUUAAGAGCCUACAUACACUGUAGUGCUCAGUAAUUAUGUGCUGUAGUUAAGUGUUCAGUUCUUGUUCAGAAAAAAAUCCAUACUCAUUUGAAGGGUGUGAUGUUAUAUUUUGGACUUAGAACUGGCACAAGUAACUGUUUUUGUAGCUUGGUAUUUCAGAAGUAACAAGUAAAUGAUUUUGCUGCAUUAUAACCAGGACAGUGAGCGUUGUGUUUUGAAAACACAGAGCUUCUUGAUGGACUAUAAACACAUGGCCUCCAAGUUAGGACAUAUGGAUGCCAGUGACACAGUCCACUUUCACAGAAGGAAACCAGACACUCCUCGUUUUUCAUGAUUCUUCUGGUUGUUCUUGCAGCACCGCCUCACAGCUCCAUUAUGGAGAUGGACGGUAUUCUGCUGGGUCUUUACCUCUGUU
Acanthopagrus latus (yellowfin seabream) is the source of this 1829-nucleotide long non-coding RNA. RefSeq lists it as uncharacterized. The record is from RefSeq and is a predicted model, not a curated record. NCBI's taxonomy places the organism in Eukaryota, Metazoa, Chordata, Actinopteri, Spariformes, Sparidae. The transcript has 3 exons.